CUGAAUUAUAAUAUUUUAUCAACAGUCCAGUUGUGUACUUUUCCCUUAAUUUUACGCUUAUUGUGUGUCGGCAGAAGCUGUCGUUGAACCUACGCUGUAAAAGUGUUUAUAGCGCCCUCUGCAGGAGAUUUGCAGAUGUGCCACAGGCUGCACAGUGCACAGCUAGGGCAGUGAAAAUAGGGAAUGAUAGAGAAUUAUGGUUUAACAAAAGGCACGUAUAGUUCUUAAUGUCUAAGACAUUCGAUUGGGUUGGGCUUCGAGAUGCCAUUAUAAAAGCCUACACUGAGCGGAUAAGGGACUCUCAGCAGACGGAGGGACGAAGGACCCAUCCCUGAGACCAUGGCAGCAGAGGCAGUUGUUUCUGUUGUGACGACAGGAGCUCCCGAAAGCACUCCGAUGAAAGAUCUGGUGAACCAGGGUAAUAAGACGAUGGACGCCGAGGCCUCUGCAGAGCCUGAGCUACAGAUGGCCAUCAAGUGUCGUGACGUCUGCCGGUCCUACGGCAAACUGAAGGUCAUCAGCAACAUGGACCUGACUGUUCCACAGGGACAAAUUUAUGGCCUGUUGGGGCCCAGUGGAUGUGGGAAGACCACGCUGUUAAAAUGUAUCGUAGGAACUCUGAAGAUCUCCCGGGGCCACAUCAGUGUUCUGGGAAAACCUCCUUCCUUUCCUGGUCAUGAAGUUCCUGGCAGGAUGGUUGGAUACAUGCCACAGGAUUUGGCGCUGUAUAAUGAGUUCACAAUCAGUGACACACUCACAUUCUUUGGACGCAUUCACGGACUGACCUCCAAGGAGACCCAGGCCCGCAUGGACUUCCUGGUGGACUUCCUGGAACUACCUCAGAAGUGCAGGCUGGUCCGAAAUCUCAGUGGAGGCCAGAGGAGGAGGGUGUCCCUCGGAGCUGCUCUGCUACAGAACCCACAGCUUCUAAUUCUGGAUGAGCCCACAGUGGGAGUGGACCCUGUGUUAAGAGCCAGGAUCUGGCAGCAUCUGGUGGAGAUAGUAAAGACGGGAAAGGUGUCGGUCAUCAUCACAACACACUACAUAGAGGAGGCCCGUCAAGCUAAUGUGGUUGGUCUUAUGAGGAACGGCCGUUUGCUGGCAGAAGGAAAUCCACAGGAAGUGAUGCAUCAGCUCAAUGCAUCCACGUUGGAGCACGCCUUCCUCCAGCUCUGUGAGACAUCAGACCUGAUGGACUCAAAGCAGGGCAGCAGGCAGCAGGGGGAAAGCAAACAUUCACUUGAGAGCGGACAGGACGAGAGCCGACCCAUUCUUAGCAUAGGACCAGGAGGAACACCAGAGGACAUACCUAAACAUGCUGUGGAUUGGAAGGUACGAGCCAGGCAUGUGCUUCCCAAGUGGAGGAACAUCUCAGCGCUGAUGAUAAAGACCCUGAUACGGAUGAAGAGGAUGCCUGGGUCGUUGUGCUUCCAGUUCUUACUGCCGGUCAUCCAGAUCUCCCUUAUGUGUGUGUGCAUUGGAGGAGACCCCAAGGGCGUCCGGGUGGCUGUGGUGAACAACGAGACAUCCUCCUCUGGCUACAGCCAGCUGCUGCUGGGCUUCCUAGACAACUCCAGUAUAGAGCAGGUACCGCUGAGCCACGCAGACGCCUUCACUGGGAUCUACAACGGAGAGUACUGGGGGGUCCUCGGCUUCGGACAGAACUUCUCCAGCUACAUGACUAGCAGGGCUCUCAAACCGCAAACCGUUUCUAAAGAUGUGGUCGAUGGAGGCUCAGUACACGUCUGGCUGGACCUGACAAAUCGACAAAUUGCUCUGAUGCUCCAGAAGAAAGUCUUCCAGGCCUUUCAGGAAUUUGUAGAUUAUAAACUGGACAGCAAGGCCUACAUGGUGGCUCUGCCUAUUAAGAUAGAAGAGCCGAUCUAUGGAAGCCUCAACACUGACUUCACCACCUUCAUCACUCCGGGAGCCGUGCUCAGUAUCACCUUCUACCUGGCGGUGGGGCUCACCGCGCUCUCCUUUGUCCUGGAGAGGAAGGAGGGUCUGCUGGACAGGUGCUGGGUGGCAGGUGUGAGCUCUUUAGAGACGAUGUUGGCCCAUCUUCUGUCUCAGCUGUUUGUGAUCAGUGUCCAGAUCCUUCUCAUGCUGCUAUUCGUCCUCUUGGUUUUCAAGAUCCCUAACGAGGGCUCUCUGAUGCUGGUGGUGGCCCUCAUCGUGCUGCAGGGCGUUACUGGCAUCGCCUUCGGCCUGGUCAUCUCCGCCGCCAUCGACGACGAGCAGAGUGCCAACCAGGCGGCCUUAGGCGUCUUCUACCCCAACCUGGUGAUCAGCGGGGUGAUCUGGCCUGUGGAGUGUAUCCCCUACCCUCUGCGCUACCUCAGCCUGGCGCUGCCUCAGACCUACGCCUCAGAAGCACUGCGCUGCAUCAUGUAUAGAGGUUGGGGCCUAGGUCACAUGAUGGUGUGGCGCGGUUUUGCGGUCACGUUGGGAUGGAACACCUUUUUCCUCCUUCUGGCCACCAUCAUCCUCAAGCUCAGGACGUGACAACCCAGCCUUCAGGGCAGCCUGGACGGAGGGCAUCGAUGUUAGCCUGUCUGCAGGGAGCACCAGAAAAGGAUGGAACCAUACCGAUAAAACUAAAGUGUGUUACCAUUUCAUGCAAUAAAUGGUUAAAUCUAUGAAACGAGUGAUUCCUGAAAGAAAUUGCUGUAUGACGUUAUUUUAGUUAUUGUAUAGCUUUACAUUUUUCCAAACUGACAAGUUAUGAGCACACAUGUUUAUUUUUUGUAUGUUUUAACGUGCAAUCCCUAAUAUGGAGAGAGUCUACGAAACAAAUCAUGUUAUGAUUCAGAUAAUAUACAUAAUAGUUGUGAAGGGAUGUAUAACACAUUGAUGUGCUAUUUUUCCAAAUUGCAUGUAUAGCACAUUGAUGUGCUAUACAUAAUUCAGUGAUUGAUCACUGCAUUAUUAUUGAAUACUGCAUAUUUGAAUGCUUGUUCCGAGUGGUGACUUCAUUCAGCCCUAAAGAGACGAAACAUGGCCGGUGUGUCUGAAAUUAACUAUCAUGUCCAUAUGUGUCCUUGUUUAGGUUAACCAUUACCUUGUGGCUGCCCCAAUCAGAGAGCUGCAUACCAUUCAGCCAAUGGCAGUGGGUGGUGAGCAAACUAAAAACAUUAAAUACAAUUAUUUGCAGUGACUCAGCAAUUAAAUCAAAUUACAAGCCUAUUAGAAAAAUAUUGACCCGGUUGCACCCAUCUUUUAGUCACAAAUUAAAAUGUACAAAUUCUUGAAGUAUACCAUAUUUUAUGCCAUUACCACACACUUUUGCCAGCAUAUAAUAUAAAUAGGCUACGUCAUUCCGUAAAUCUUUGUUGGAAUUGUUACAAUUUGCAGAUAAAAAAGACCUUCGAAAAACGUGUUGUAGAACAUAAUGUGGGUUUACUGUCAUAAAGUGCCAGAAAGUUGAUAAUAUAAUUGACUCUUAUCAGUCAGCAUUUUACUGUCAUUGUUAUUUUUAUUCUCUCAAUUUUUCGCUAGUUUGCCUUUGUUGUCUUAUUAGUUCCACCCAAGUUAUUAAGUGGAUUUUGAGAAUCUGUUUUUUUUCUUGUGUGUUGUCGUGUAUUAAAGGUGUAAAGAUUUAAAGGUAAAAUAUGUAAUAUUUCUGCAUUAAAAUAUCAAAAAACGUC
Molecule: RNA transcript, 3647 nt
Organism: Gadus morhua (Atlantic cod)
Lineage: Eukaryota; Metazoa; Chordata; Actinopteri; Gadiformes; Gadidae
Gene: abch1
Gene name: ATP-binding cassette, sub-family H, member 1
Exons: 21
Source: RefSeq, a predicted model, not a curated record